CGGGAAUUUUGGGCAAUGGGCGCAAGCCUGACCCAGCAACGCCGCGUGAAGGAUGAAAUCCUUCGGGAUGUAAACUUCGCAAGAACAGGAAGAAUAAGUAAGGGUUAAUAUCUCUUAUGAUGACGGUACUGUUUGUAAGCCCCGGCUAACUCCGUGCCAGCAGCCGCGGUAAUACGGAGGGGGCUAGCGUUGUUCGGAAUUACUGGGCGUAAAGCGAACGUAGGCGGCUUUGUAAGUUAGAGGUGAAAGCCCGGAGCUCAACUCCGGAAUUGCCUUUAAGACUGCAUCGCUAGAAUUGUGGAGAGGUAAGUGGAAUUCCGAGUGUAGAGGUGAAAUUCGUAGAUAUUCGGAAGAACACCAGUGGCGAAGGCGACUUACUGGACACAUAUUGACGCUGAGGUGCGAAAGCGUGGGGAGCAAAC
RNAcentral lists this ribosomal RNA (422 nucleotides) under uncultured bacterium. Its description in RNAcentral is "bacterial SSU rRNA". It matches the Rfam family "Bacterial small subunit ribosomal RNA", at positions 356 to 773 of the family's 1533-position model. The record is from RNAcentral.